Long non-coding RNA from Gymnodraco acuticeps, 1155 nucleotides. RefSeq lists it as uncharacterized. The transcript is spliced from 3 exons. NCBI's taxonomy places the organism in Eukaryota, Metazoa, Chordata, Actinopteri, Perciformes, Bathydraconidae. The record is from RefSeq and is a predicted model, not a curated record.
UUUUCACCGGAGUCCUCCAUCUGCGAGUCGUUGACGUCGACUUCAUUAGGAUACAUCAGUAAAUAUAUCAGCUUUGUAUCAUAUUUAAGAAUACCACUCUGGAAAACGUCGUGUACUGCAACAGGAAUAACUUUGGAGCCAACUUUUCGGACUCGGGAAAUGUGUCAUGUCCGCCGUGAACUUUCUUCAUGCUAGCGGACACUAAAGAAAUAGGCGAGGCAGUUUCAGGCCUGAUCUGACUGAUUGUGACAGAGAGGGGGAAAACGUUGGCUUUGAAAUCAUCAAUGUCUGCAGAGCAGUUUCCAGGCGGUGCAGACAGACCAGAGGAUGCUGACUACGAGAGACAGACCUAUAUUCCUAACAUCAGUGAACUUCAGCAUGGAUUCAAAGGUACAAAGACCCCUUUCAUACUGUACAAAGAAUCGAGAAACAUUCUGGUUUAAAUAGAUAAAGGAACAACUAUAAUACACUGAUAUACAUUCCAUUAAACAUGACUAAAUACUGACAUCAGGGAAGUUGACUGUUCCUUCCUUGCAAAAAGUUACAUUUAGAUUUGAACAAGCAACAUGAUUUUGUUGAGCUUCUCAGUCUGUUAGCUUUCACAUUUCAAUGUAUUUAAGGAAAUUAUUAUUUUACUAUUGUGAAAAUUACUACCAUUUGUCUCUAUAUAUUGUCACUGCUGAGCAUGUUAGCUUAGCUUGGUAGCCUCAGCUAGCUCUGGAACUUCCAGCUCGGUGGCAGGAGGUCCCGCCUCUUUGCCCUUAUUUGGAGCAGGCGGGAGUUAGAAUCUGACGUCACUUUUGAGCCAUUAGUAGCCGACACCGCCUACUUUAGGCUUCUCAGCAACUCUGCAGAAUCCUAUAGGUGACGUCACGGACACUACGUCCAUUUAUAUAUACAGUCUAUGGUUACAACACAUUUUAACCUGAAAUUAAAUGGUGUUUUGUUUUUUAAGAAUUCACUAACAUCGCGAGACAUUCCGACACCAGAGAAAAAAUGUGCGGGCAGAUUAGUAAACCUGGUGCAGGGGUCUCCAACACGUCGAUCGUUCAGUAGCUCGCCGCUUGCGGUUCACAGACUGUGUGCAGUGCAUGACAUUAAGGAUUUUGGGAGAUGGCCCUGUGGGCCAUCUAAGCUAAUUUACAGAUGGCCCUG